Molecule: ribosomal RNA, 261 nt
Filed under: Sphingobium sp.
Lineage: Bacteria; Pseudomonadati; Pseudomonadota; Alphaproteobacteria; Sphingomonadales; Sphingobiaceae
Description: partial 16S ribosomal RNA
Rfam family: Bacterial small subunit ribosomal RNA
Source: RNAcentral
CAAACUUGAGAGUUUGAUCCUGGCUCAGAACGAACGCUGGCGGCAUGCCUAAUACAUGCAAGUCGAACGAGAUCUUCGGAUCUAGUGGCGCACGGGUGCGUAACGCGUGGGAAUCUGCCCUUGGGUUCGGAAUAACGUCGGGAAACUGACGCUAAUACCGGAUGAUGACGUAAGUCCAAAGAUUUAUCGCCCAGGGAUGAGCCCGCGUAGGAUUAGCUAGUUGGUGGGGUAAAGGCCUACCAAGGCGACGAUCCUUAGCUG